Molecule: ribosomal RNA, 508 nt
Filed under: Oreina speciosissima
Lineage: Eukaryota; Metazoa; Arthropoda; Insecta; Coleoptera; Chrysomelidae
Description: partial 16S ribosomal RNA
Rfam family: Bacterial large subunit ribosomal RNA (bases 383-508)
Source: RNAcentral
GUCCUUUUGUUAAUAAUUUAAGGUCUGACCUGCCCACUGAGAUUUUAAAUGGCCGUGGUAUUUUGACCGUGCUAAGGUAGCAUAAUCAUUAGUUUUUUAAUUAAAAACUGGAAUGAAAGGUUGGAUAAGAAAAUAGCUGUCUCUAUUAAAUUUAAUUAGAAUUUUAUUUUUAAGUUAAAAAGCUUAAUUAUUAUUAAAAGACGAGAAGACCCUAUAGAGUUUAAUUAUUUAAUAAAAAAUAUAUUUUAGUAUUUAUUUAUUUAUUUUAUUAAAUAAUUUAAUUGGGGUGACUGAAAAAUUUAAGUAACUUUUUUUAUUUUAAAACAUUAAUUUAUGAACAUAUGAUCCAAUAUUUUUGAUUAUAAGAUAAAAUUACCUUAGGGAUAACAGCGUAAUUUUUUUAGAAAGUUCAUAUUAAAAAAAAAGAUUGCGACCUCGAUGUUGGAUUAAAAUAAAUUUUUGGUGUAGAAGCUGAAAUAUUAGGUCUGUUCGACCUUUAAAAUUUUAC